GACAGCAGCCGCCGCGGUAAAACGGAGGGUGCAAGCGUUAAUCGGAAUUACUGGGCGUAAAGCGCACGCAGGCGGUUUGUUAAGUCAGAUGUGAAAUCCCCGAGCUUAACUUGGGAACUGCAUUUGAAACUGGCAAGCUAGAGUCUUGUAGAGGGGGGUAGAAUUCCAGGUGUAGCGGUGAAAUGCGUAGAGAUCUGGAGGAAUACCGGUGGCGAAGGCGGCCCCCUGGACAAAGACUGACGCUCAGGUGCGAAAGCGUGGGGAGCAAACAGGAUUAGAUACCCCUGUAGUCCCUGUCUCUUAUAU
This 306-nucleotide ribosomal RNA is filed under the name uncultured bacterium. RNAcentral's name for it is "partial 16S ribosomal RNA". It matches the Rfam family "Bacterial small subunit ribosomal RNA", at positions 507 to 809 of the family's 1533-position model. The record is from RNAcentral.